AUAACUCUUAUUUUAUUGUUAAUUUUAUUAUUGUAGCAGGCCAAUUCUGCCUGGUCCAAUAAAUAAAUAAAACUCAAACAGUCCACAUAAAAAAAGUCCAAAAAAAGAGUCCAAAAUUACAAAAAUAACAAACCCAAUUACAAGCCCAAAAUAAACCUAACCCUAGAGCCCAAACAACUCAAAACAAACUAGUUUUUCAGCAAAAAGGAAAAACCUAGCCCUAGCCGCUGCUCCCUUCUUUAGCCGCCGCUACCCAUGCCUCCACUACCCACGUUCUCCACCAUGCGCCCACGCAUCACGCCAUCCACGUUCACCAUACCUGCAACGAAUAGAAGCAAUAAACAGUUGUAAUUAUGGCUAUAAAAAGCCACAAAUAUUCAUUGUUUUUUUUACGAACUCAAUACAAAAAACACACGCAACUAAUACAAAAGAAAUAUUCGAAGCAAAGAGGUGAUUUCAUUUUCUUUUAUCUUCUUUCUCAUUUUUUCCCUUUUAUAUGGAUAUAUAAUAAUAAAAGAAGAAGAAAAGGCUUACCCUUGUUAAUCGCCAAAAAAUUGGCAACUUUUGGAGUUCCGAUCAUCGACGGUGGCGGAGCCCUCGAAGGCGCUCGGCUGGAGUUAGGCCGGACUUAGAGAGGGGAGGAGAGAGUUCAGAGUUUUUUGAAGUUUUUUUUAAAAAAAAAACUAAAGAUAGAAUGAUUUUUUUUUCAAAAAAUGUGACUUAAAUAGUAAAUUAAAAAAGUGUUGUUUUGGCCUAAGCUCAUAAGUCUUAAAACGACGUCGUUUUGCUCUCGUCCGACCCGACCCGACCCGACCCGCCUCAUGAUCCGCGUGUUUUUGAGUAGAAGGGCUAAUUGCACUUUUAGCCCUUCCGCUUUUUUUAUGGUUUUGCAAUUAAGUUUCUUUUAUUUCUAAUUUUUCCCUAGAAUUUUUGCUUUGAUUUCAUUUUAGCCUCGUGUAAAGUGUUGCAUUUUGGAGGGCGGGGAUAUUUUCUCCUUUAGUCUCUCCUUGUUAUUCGCGCACUCGAUUCGAUCCUUUUCUCUUUUAUUUAUUUCCAGAUUUACCCUAAACAUUUGUUUUAGGUUUAAUUAAG
RNAcentral lists this long non-coding RNA (1092 nucleotides) under Gossypium barbadense (sea-island cotton). RNAcentral describes it as "long non-coding RNA (GBAR_LNC004627)". Lineage: Eukaryota; Viridiplantae; Streptophyta; Magnoliopsida; Malvales; Malvaceae. The record is from RNAcentral.